CCCUUAGAUGUUCUGGGCCGCACGCGCGCUACACUGACGAAUGCAACGAGCUUAUAACCUUGGCCGAAAGGUCUGGGUAAUCUCCAAAUUUCGUCGUGAUGGGGAUAGAUUAUUGCAAUUAUUAGUCUUGAACGAGGAAUUCCUAGUAAGCACAAGUCAUCAGCUUGUGUUGAUUACGUCCCUGCCCUUUGUACACACCGCCCGUCGCUCCUACCGAUUGAAUGUUCCGGUGAGCUCUUCGGACUGCGCGGUCUGCAGUUUCUGCGUUCCGUGCGGAAAGUUGCGCAAACCUUAACAUUUAGAGGAAGGAGAAGUCGUAACA
This 322-nucleotide ribosomal RNA is filed under the name uncultured eukaryote. RNAcentral describes it as "partial 18S ribosomal RNA". It matches the Rfam family "Eukaryotic small subunit ribosomal RNA", at positions 1470 to 1796 of the family's 1831-position model. The record is from RNAcentral.